AACGAACGCUGGCGGCAGGCCUAACACAUGCAAGUCGAACGAAAAGCCCCUUCGGGGGGUGGAAAGUGGCAGACGGGUGAGUAACGCGUGGGAACCUACCCAAGGGUACGGAAUAACCCAGGGAAACUUGGGCUAAUACCGUAUACGUCCCCCUUUGGAGACAUUGGGGGAGAAAGAUUUAUCGCCCCUGGAUGGGCCCGCGUCGGAUUAGCUUGUUGGUGGGGUAAUGGCUCACCAAGGCGACGAUCCGUAGCUGGUCUGAGAGGACGAUCAGCCACACUGGGACUGAGACACGGCCCAGACUCCUACGGGAGGCAGCAGCAGGGAAUAUUGCACAAUGGGCGCAAGCCUGAUGCAGCGACGCCGCGUGAGGGAUGAAGGCUUUCGGGUUGUAAACCUCUUUCAGUGGGGAAGAAGCGCAAGUGACGGUACCCACACAAGAAGGCCCGGCCAACUACGUG
RNAcentral lists this ribosomal RNA (461 nucleotides) under uncultured bacterium. RNAcentral describes it as "bacterial SSU rRNA". It matches the Rfam family "Bacterial small subunit ribosomal RNA", at positions 29 to 507 of the family's 1533-position model. The record is from RNAcentral.